GAUGAACGCUGGCGGCGUGCCUAACACAUGCAAGUCGAGCGAACGGACGGGCAGCGUGCUUCCCUGAUGUUAGCGGCGGAUGGGUGAGUAACACGUGGAUAACCUACCUAUAAGACUGGGAUAACUACGGGAAACCGGAGAUAACAUCGGAUGAUAUUUUGAACCGCAUGGUUCAUCAGUGAACGACGGUCUUGCUGUCACUUAUAGAUGGAUCCGCGCUGCAUUAGCUAGUUGGUAAGGUAACGGCCUACCAAGGCAACGAUGCAUAGCCGACCUGAGAGGGUGAUCGGCCACACUGGAACUGAGACACGGUCCAGACUCCUACGGGAGGCAGCAGUGGGGAAUCUUGCACAAUGGGCGAAAGCCUGACGGAGCAACGCCGCGUGAGUGAUGAAGGCCUUCGGGUCGUAAAGCACUGUUGGUAGGAAAGAAAAGAUGUGUGCGAAUAUGUGGACAUGUUGACGGUACCUGAAGAGAAAGCACCGGCUAACUACGUG
RNAcentral lists this ribosomal RNA (497 nucleotides) under uncultured bacterium. RNAcentral describes it as "partial 16S ribosomal RNA". It matches the Rfam family "Bacterial small subunit ribosomal RNA", at positions 28 to 507 of the family's 1533-position model. The record is from RNAcentral.